GCAUUCCAUUGUGUUUUAUAUGCCAUCAUAUUGAGCUGUAGAUCUGGGGGGGUACAGUAAAGGCAUAGGCUUUGGUUUGGGUGAUCCUCUGCAUUACCAUGAUUACUGAUCACCAGCCCUGUGCAUACAGAUGACUCAUGGUAAUGAAUCCCAGCUGAGCGUGAUUGAACUGUUCACAUUGUUACACUUUAAAUUCAGACGGGCCCUUUGGAAAGGAGUGUAGAAGUUUGCAGUCUGAUCAGGGAAAAGGGUGUAAUACAGGUGGCUUGGCUAAGAUUCCCGUUGUUUUUUCUAUCGUGUUUUUCUUCAUUUGGGGCUUUCGCAAGUAGUUAUUAAAGAUAAAAUGUGUUUAUAUUUAAAAACCGCCACCCAGUUCCUCUCUCCUGCCUUUGUAGAAGAUCUUCCAGAAGACGGCACUCUCUGGCAUAUAUUAACCUGCUGAGAUGACACCAAAACAGAGUGGCUGGGAAACGGCUCACAAAGGCUGGGAGACUCCGCUCACGAAGAGGCGCUUUCAUCUUUCCCGCGUCAGCUGCUGCUCCCGUCUGCUUGACGUUUGCUAAAACACGUCGGCGGUACGGAGCGGCGUGAGGUCAGCAGAUGCGGUGCCCCUCUCGGUGCUGUCAUGACAACAGGGGCCCCCAAACCUGUCUUCUCUCGCCCCUCUUCGCCCAGUCCAGAAAGCUUUCAUCGCUCCUAUCUGGCUGCUAGAGACGUUCCCCUCGAAACGCAAGCGCUUCUUCCUGCCAAAGCGAAAAAGGAGCUCAUUCACUGAGCUGCAGAAUGACUUGGACGUUCUUGGAAAUUUUCAAGCGUAUCAGUAGAAUUUUCACAAAAUAAAUGACUUGAUAGCAUUUCUUUGGAGUUGAAAAUUUGCUACUGAGAGAGCA
This is a long non-coding RNA of Paramormyrops kingsleyae, 890 nucleotides long. RefSeq lists it as uncharacterized. The record is from RefSeq and is a predicted model, not a curated record. Lineage: Eukaryota; Metazoa; Chordata; Actinopteri; Osteoglossiformes; Mormyridae.